GGCGUAUUUUGCCCAGGCGGAGCUCGACCGCCCGUUCAAGCGAUGAUCGCCUUCAUCGACGAUCACCGUGGGGCCUACGGGGUCGAGCCGAUCUGCCGCCUGCUGCCGAUCGCCCCG
RNAcentral lists this non-coding RNA (117 nucleotides) under Methylobacterium bullatum. RNAcentral describes it as "ALIL". It matches the Rfam family "ALIL pseudoknot". The record is from RNAcentral. Lineage: Bacteria; Pseudomonadati; Pseudomonadota; Alphaproteobacteria; Hyphomicrobiales; Methylobacteriaceae.